RNAcentral lists this ribosomal RNA (450 nucleotides) under uncultured bacterium. RNAcentral describes it as "bacterial SSU rRNA". It matches the Rfam family "Bacterial small subunit ribosomal RNA", at positions 355 to 825 of the family's 1533-position model. The record is from RNAcentral.
UUAGGAAUUUUGCGCAAUGGGCGAAAGCCUGACGCAGCAACGCCGCGUGAGUGAUGAAGGCCUUCGGGUUGUAAAGCUCUUUUAGUUGGGAAAAACACAAUGAUGGUACCAACAGAAAAAGCACCGGCUAACUCUGUGCCAGCAGCCGCGGUAAUACAGAGGGUGCAAGCGUUAUUCGGAAUUAUUGGGCAUAAAGCGCAUGUAGGUGGCUUGGUUAGUUUGAUGUGAAAGCCCCGGACUCAAUUCGGGAAGUGCAUUGAAUACUGCCAGGCUGGAGUAUGGGAGAGGUGAGCGGAAUUCCAGGUGUAGAGGUGAAAUUCGUAGAUAUCUGGAGGAACAACAGAGGCGAAGGCGGCUCACUGGACCAUUACUGACACUGAGAUGCGAAAGCGUGGGGAGCAAACAGGAUUAGAUACCCACGUAGUCCCUGAGCGGGCUGGCAAGGCGCAU